This 38868-nucleotide long non-coding RNA is filed under the name Triticum aestivum (bread wheat). RNAcentral describes it as "long non-coding RNA (TAES_LNC006983)". Lineage: Eukaryota; Viridiplantae; Streptophyta; Magnoliopsida; Poales; Poaceae. The record is from RNAcentral.
UCAGCAGUCCAACCCUGUCGCCCCAGGCCGUCCAGCGACCUGUCGGGCUAUGGUAUUCCGUUGCAAGUUGGCAAGCAACAUUAGCGACCGUACUCUCCAACCGCCCCAUGUUCGUGUUUCCUCUCUCUCACCCAUACUUGCAGCAUGUAUGCCAUGGAUUUUGUGAAUGGAAGAAAUUCCUCUGUAAUUCUCUCGAUUCCAAUAAUUAUUUUAGAUUGCGAUAGGCGUGCAUUUGAAUUUUAGUAAGCACAUGUGCUCUGCUGCCCAUAACCUCUUUGUUGUUAUGUUUCUAAGAAUUGGACAAUUUUUUUAGUUUUAAUUUCACAAUAACUAGUCCUAGCUAAGUGUAUAUUGAUGCAUCCAGAGGUACUUGCAAAUCAGGAUUUUAACUCCUUUGAUAAUGAUGCUGAAAUUAGGAUUGAGCAUGAACACUAAAAUGGCAGAGGAUUCACUAUUGGCACUACAAUUUAUUUCCCUUAAUCUUUUACUGAACUUUGAGUAAAUAUUUCUAGCUUUUCCUUAAAAAAGUUCAUGCAAAAUAACUGAGUUGUGUUAGAGCUGGCUUUGAAAUAUAGUAUGAUCUGAAAAAUGGGAAGGUGCAUGGAAAAUAUAAGUUCACCUUAAAAAAAGCUCAGUGGUUCAAAAUGUGAAAGAAAAAUGAAAAAAGUUCAUUGGCUUUUGUGUUGUGUGACUUUAGAGUUCAAAGUACAUAAGAACAUAGGUCCACUCUGCGAAAACAACAUUACACACAUAAGAAUAUAAAUCCUGCCAAAAAGUUCAUUUACGAGCAUCUUCUGCUCAUCCAUGAGCGGGGCUCCUCCUUGCGGCUAUUGCUCAUCCAUGAGCGGGGUUCCCGAGGAUCCCAUUGGCGGUGGUCCCUCGAUGGUGGCUCUCGACAUUGUUUCCUUAACGGUGCUACAAUUCUAAAUUAUUAUUGAGUCGUACUAGUACUGAUGAAAUGGGAAGCAAGGUUGAAUGGGAAGCAAGUGCCACAUGGAACCUCAAUUGAAAUGAGAUGUAAGGUUCCACCUCUAGCCUACCCAAAACAACCAUGUCAUCAGUUCAAAAGUCCUGGGGUGUACCUAUAGAAUUCUGAAGAUGUGACUACAAAAUUGUUUUCUUGUGCUACUAAUCUACUAUAUCAUUAGUUCAAAGUGUACUGAAGAUACAACCCUAGGUGUGUUGUGGUGCGUGCUUAAUUGGUUACUGAUCUGUGUAGGGUACGGCCGGCGACAACGAGUAGGUGGCAAGUGUACCACAUCGAGCAACGAGACAGAGGUAUGAAGCAGAUGUGCGUGGUGUGCUGUCAUUUCAUAAGUUCAAGUGUUUGUCCCCUAUAAAGUUCAGAGAAAAAAAAUAUUAUGUUGCUUAUUGCUCAGUUCAUGUGUAAGCACUGGAGGAGUUCAAAAAACCAGAACUCAUGCGAUUUCAUAAAAAUAUGGUGUUUCUUCCAUACCAUCGGAAUGAGAGAAAAACAUUAAUUCAAUUUUUCCAUACCAUCGCUUUUAUUGCUAAAUGAUUUAGACACGUCUUUUCUUGAUGCCAUCAUGUAUUUGCUUAAGUACUUCAGCUCAAAAAAAAGCUCCAGAAAAGUUCAGAGUUUGUUUUCAGAAAAGCUCCGUGGUGUUUCUUCGGCUACAGCAUCCAUGCAUCCAAGUUGAGCUCUGACCGCAGUCCAAGUGGAACUGCGACCACCAACUUCACCCAGCACUGCACCCAUUGACCACCCACACAGUGAGAACGACAUCUCAUUUUUCUUUGAACAUUUUCUUAGCUGCAAGUACUAGUUCAGAGUUUGCUUUUUCACCGUGUUUGCACUUCAUUAUAGUUAACCAUUGGUCCAUUUCUCAGUGGCAAGUAAAGAAUGGUCUUGCACUUCAUAAUAAUGCCCUCCUCCUCUGUUUCUCUUCCUAUCUAAAUCUCCUUUCUGUCACUAAUUUAUUUUCUCUCUGAAUGCAGCACGAGGGAGGCUGGAGCGACUGCAUACUGGUGACGAGAACCACUUUAGUUCUGUUGUUCGUGUAUUGGAAGUACGUAUCCUCUAUCCAAGCAGGAGGUAGAGGUAAUUUCUCCCCUGAUGCAACCUAUUUUGAAAGUAGUCUGAGACCAUCAUGUCCUAUAUACAGAUUCAUAGUAUAACACAUCACAUGGAUGUUUGUUCUGAAAAUUGAAAUUGUUUUGGUGUACUAAUAGAUUAGUUGUUAAGUAUUGGAGUGUUUCCUUCUUGUUUUGGACAAAUGGAAGUCUACAAGACAAAUGUAUUCUUAGAUUCAGAGCGAACCAGUACACCAAACAGAAAAAAGCAAAAGAAAAAAACUCACUCCAGGCCACUCCACCAAAUCCGAAGUGGGUCAAUCCCCGACACAAUGCCCGCCGCCACCCUCGGGCCAACCUUCCACCACCUCCACCGUCGCCCCACUCCACCUCCCGGCCACACGCCCAUCGCCGUGCUCCUCCUUGCUGUUCUAAUUCUUGUUUUGGUUAUGUCCAAAGAAACUCAUAAUUUUGAUAAAUGAUGAAUUGUGUUUUCUCGUAGAAAAAUGAUGCUCUGUAGGUGGUAUAGCAGUUCGCCAUGUUUAUCUACCAUCAAUCUGUAAAAGGACAAGUAUGUACUGACGCUAGAAAUGAUGCUCUGUACAAUUUCUUCUAAUCUAGUUCGAAUUUGGUCUACUUGAGUAUUCUAUCAGUUCAUGACAAGUAUGUACUGAUGCUAGAAAUGUAGGUCAUUUGUGAAUCAUGCUUUUUUCAGAGAGAAAAGGAGUUUGUAGUUACAUCACAUGGUGUACUGAGCAACAUAAACAUGGUUUCCUUCAUAAAUUAGUUGUUUUUGGUUAAUUCGUUUACAUGGACAGUACAAACGCACAUUGUUGUGUAGUACAUGUGUGUAUUGUGAUUGUAAUUUUGGUUUUUAGUUAAGAAACAAAUAACAAAAAGGUUCAUAAAAGAACCCAAAACAUUCGAUAGUCCUGGAAGUCCAAAUUUCAGUUCAACAUGUUUUCUAUCAUUAGCUCAUUAAGAACCCCAGAAACUUAUCUGGUGGUGUGUGUGUGUGCUGCUGCAUCCUUCUCCGGCCGCUCUAAUCCACUCUCAGUACAACUUCUCUGCGACCUCAUGUUCACAAAUCUUGUAGUACAUUUUUUAAAUAAAAAUCUUGUAGUACUAUGUAAAGCAAGCGUGGCCAACACAUACUUUAGGUGUCGCGGUAGUACGCACUGUUGAUGGUGGCCUUCCUUUGUGGCGCUACUACUUUGCCACCUAGAGCAGUACUGCUACUACUUAUCAUGUUGCUACAACCUAGCGAACAGUACAUGUAUUUGAUUUACGGUUCUGUAGGAAGAAAAGUUCACCAAUAUAAAAUCUCUAGGUUUAGUAAAGCAAUCUUUUUGCUUAGUAGCUGAUACUGCUCAAGUUUCUUUCUUGUUGUACAUAUGAUGUCCAAUUUCUUCUUUCAGUUUGGUUCAAUUUAUAAAUUUCAUUCAGUUCAAUUCUUAUUGUAGUUGGAUUUCAGUUUCUUAUUUGAGUUCAAUUCAGGCAUGUGAUUGAACUUGCAACCUCAUAAGAUACGAUCUCAAAUAGAAGUGUACUAAAUGCAGUUACUAGGUGGCGGCAUUGCUUCACUUCUCUUGUUACGUUCUCUUCGCCCAAAUUCAGAGGAUCAGGAAAAUAAAAUAUCAUUGUUUUGACGUGCACUACUCAAAAGAAGUCGUUUCUGUUGAAAAAUUGUUUCGCUUGACAUGUACUUGCCAACAAUUAUGUAUAAUAAAUCGUGGCAUUGUAUGUAGAAAAAGAUAUAUUGUGUUUUCUGCUGUUGUAUUGAGUUGCUAUCUAUUGCUAAUGGUACGAUGUUGCUAUUGCCCUGUGUCAUGUUAUGCAAGUUGACACUGAGUACACGUUGUAUGAUAUACUUAUAUAGUAAAUAGCUAAAAACUGAUUUCUUCCAGUUUUUAUUUUUCGCCCUUGCCUAUUUGAUGUUAUGCCUACAUGAGCUGAAGCGUUUUAAAAAUGUUGGCAGGAAAGUGUGUGUAUUUGGCAGAAUAAAUGUUGGUAAGUUCAUGGCAAAAAAUCCAUAAGUUCACGGAUAAAUAAUUUCAUGGUUACGAAAACCCUUUUAGAAAAAUUAGAAAAUAAAGAAAUGAGAUACAUUACAGAAGAAUUGGUUUGGGUACAAUGAAUCCAGAAAGUUCAAAGUUAAGAAAGCGAAAAGUUCGGACCCAUGAAAAAGAGAGGUCCGGAAUAGAAGAGAACAUUAUGAAACAUAAAAAAUAUCAACAAGAAAAAGUUCAAGUUGCAAAAAGAGACAAGUCCAGAACACGCUCAGUACAAAACCAUACAUACAUCCAUUUAAGUACUCUUUUUCUCGAACAUAUAUUCGUCCGUUCUAGAAAGAAAAAUGGUUGAAAUAAAAAUAUUGAUCAGUACAAGUUAAAAAUGGUGGUCCGUUCGGAAUAAAAGAAAUGACAGAAAUUCAAGUUGUAAAAGUUCAAGCAAAAAGAAACCCCAUGCAAUUCAAAUGAGAAAAGUACAAGUCAUAAAAUGAGAGAAGUCUAAAAUAUCAUUGUAAAAAAAGUUUAGUUCAAACAAAAAUAAAAAAAACAUUUUCUUUUUGAAAAAAGUAUCAAUCAGUUCGAUGAUAUAAACCAUGCAAGUAUAGGGGCGACGAUACAAUAAACCAUUGAAAACUUACGAGCGAAACAGAGCAAAGUCUAGUUCAUGAAAACACGCUAAAUACAAACCCAUGCAAACAUCAGUACAAGUACCCUUUUUCGGAACCAUUCAAAAUUACUCUAAAAAAUAGCUCAGUACAAACAUACACAUAUAUCCGUACGACUACUCUGUUUUUCAGACGAGAAAACAACAGGAUCCGUCAUGUCGUUUUCCAAAUUACUCUUAAACGGUUGCGAAGUAGAGAAAACGUUCAACAUGACUAAGUUUCGCAUUUUCGAUAGCUAUCCAACGGUAUAUUAUUUGCCCCAUUUUGAUAAACAUGUUUAAAAAAAACCGCGUUCAAAACCAAUUUUAACCGUAUUUGAAUUCGUAUUUAAACCAUAAGAAAUUAGAAAAAACUUUCUAUACGCUAAAGUUGCGCAUUUUCCAUAGCUUUCCAACGGCGUAUCAUUUGCGUCAAUCCGAGAAAUCGUUUGCAAAAAACAGUGAAAAAACAUUUCGCCUAGAAUUUCACCGUUUUCCAAAUUACUUUUAAAUCAUAUAGAAUUCGAAAAGUAGUAGAUAUAUGGAAGAUGCGGAUUUUCACAAGCUUUUCAACGCCAUAUCAUUUGCUCAAUUCCGACAAACUGUUUGAAAAUUAAGUCCAAAAUACGAUUCACGUUUUCGGUUUUAAAAAAACGGUGUUUUUCAAAACUGCUCUUAAAUCAUAAUUUCUUUGCAAAAAAAUUACAAGAUUGUAAUGUGUAUGUCAAGAGAUUUCCAACUAUAUAUUUCACGCCCCGUUUCGACAAAAAAAUUUGCAAAAAAAUUUGAAUUUAAGAAGACGAUUUUUAAAGACAAUAGAAAGCAUCAGUUCAACCGCUCGAUUUUCAUCAGUUCAACCGCUUGAUUUCAUCAGUUCAAAUAGGGUAACAGAAUAAUAUUCUGUUACGCGUAACAAAAUAGCCCAGAUGUGUGUGUGUGUGUGUGUCUAUAUAUAUAUACGGUCUAUUCUGCUAAUAUUAGUAGAAUAAAUAUUCUGCACACCACUUCGGCACUGCACGCUCAACAGAAGCGCACUGCAUUAUUUUGACGACGAGCACUACAAUAGAGACUAGUGAACUUCUAGUCGGAAAAAACUGCAGGCGUUAUUUUUUUGGUACUGUUUUCGCUCUAAUUUUUUAACUGCUUAUCUGAAUGAGGCGUGUAAUAUAUCGUUGAAAAGCUAUGGAUUAGGCGCAACUUCGACAUGUUGAACACUUUUCGAGAUUCCACACGGUUUAAGAGAGUUUUGAAAAUAGUGCGGCGGAUGACGAGUGGCAGCGAGCGUUUUUUCACGUUUUUUCUAAACCGCUUGUCGGAACAAAGAAAAUGAUACGCCUUGGAUAGAUAUCUUUGACGCGCAUCUUUUUCAUAUAUAAAUCUUUCUCUAAUUCAUUACGGUUUAAGAGCAGUUUCAAAUUUACUAAAUCGCGGAACUCUGUUUUUCAAAAUUUUUGAAAUUUUUGGUACUGUUUUUGCUCUAGUUUUCUAACCGUUUGUCGAAACGAGACAUAUGAUACGCCGUUGGAAAGAUACGGACAAGGUGUAACUUUCAUAUGUUGAAAUGGUUUUGAGAUUCCUUACAAUUUUUAGUUAAUUUUGAAAAUCGUGCGGCUGACUUCGAGAGGCAGCGGCUGUUUUUUCGCGAAAUUUUUAUGAACGGCUGGUCGGAAUAAUUCAAAUCAUACGCCGUUGGAAAGAUACCGACGAGACGCAACUUUUUCAUGUAGAACACUCUCUCUAAUUCAUUACGGUUUAAGAGCAGUUUUCAAAUUACCAAAAUGCGGACACUUUGUUUUUCGCGACACCCAAAUCGACGUGGGUACUUCAUUCGACUGAAAACAGCACUGCAACGGACGAAAAACUGCACUGCAUCACACGGGUAAGAGAACUGCAUGAUUUCUUUUAUUCAAACGUAAUUUUUCAAGAACGAGAAAGUAGAGUGCACUUCACAUCGGGUGUAAGUGAACCACAACACUAUCAAGAAGUGAACCGCAUUACUUUUUUCGCUUUCGUAACAAUUUUUUUUCGCACUUACGGGAUGAACAACAUCACAUAGCCGACCGCACUACUUAAGACUGAAAACCGCACUGCAUCAUACGGGCAAGUGAACCCCGUAAAUUUUCUUUUUUUUCUAAUUUUUUACGCUUAUUUGUGAACCUCAUGGUUAAAGUUAGUGAACCGCGUGGCCCAGACUAGAGAACUACAUUUUUUCGAUUGGUGAAAGUGAUUUAUUCGAUUGGUGAAAGUGAAUCGCUAGGAAGAAACUAGUGGACUUCAUCUAAAAAAAUGAACUUCUUCUGUGUUGAUUUCUUAUUGUUUUUACAAAGGGAAUAUGUUUACAAAGGGAACCACAAGAGUGCACUGCAAACAUACAUACACCGCAUUGCAAGCACACAGAAAACAAGUGAAACAACCACACGCGACAACACAAAUUGCCUUCUAAAAAACCACAAGACCGAUGGGGUGUACUGCACACAUACACACACCGCAUUGCAGGUAUAUACAGAAGAAACUGCAUGCACAUGAUGCUUCCUUUUUUCUCGCAUAUACAAAAGUGAACCAACGUAUAGUACAAGUGAUCCACAUCCAAAAAGAAAGAAUACCACUCGUGGUUUUAUUAACAGAAGUGAAGCACCAAAUUCUUGUCACAAACAAGAGCGAAACAGCAACCUUUCCCAGUUUCCUUUUUGGACUAAAACACACUGAAGGACAAUAUGAGCUGCAUUGCACGCCAAAGCCUUCGGACCCGCGAGACGCCAUGGGUGCUCGGCCACUGCAAGAAACACGGGCACACAUCACGAACAUACAUGCCCGCACUGCAAGACCAUGCCAAUGCACUGCACCUAACGUGCCUGCCAAACCACUUGCUCAAGGGAGUGAACUGCACGUCGCACCGCCGGAAAGCUUCGAACGUGCCUACAAAACCGCUCAUCCCUUGCGUGGCUCCCUGGCUUUUUGUAGGUAGUACUCCAUGGUGAAGGAAGUGAAACAGUGGGGGAGCAGUGCAAGGCACACAUCAUCCGGUAAACUGCACAAAGGAAUCGAACAACAUUAGAAAAUUCACUACACUGAAGUCAUUAGAUCAACAGCAAAAAUAUGGAAAACACAAAAAAAUAGUGAACUCCAAGCCGCGGUGAGCUACUGCUCGUCCUGGAUCUCAUUUACGUUAGAGGGAUGAAGGUGUCAGGGGCGGCGGCCUUGUUGAAAGUCAGAAUCCAAAAAAAUUUGCACGUCGUGGCUCUUUGCACUGCAGCUAGCCCACACCGAACCACGAGCAGAUGUCGAGAAAACUGAGUUGUCUUGUCGAAGGAGGAGGCCAAGCUGGUGCAGGUGGAGCUGCCCAGGUGAGUCAGGGGACCACGUCAGUGAACUGCACAUCGUCCGGGCCAACCGCGGCGCUUGGAAGGUGGUCGCUGGGCAGAUCCCCUACUGUCCAUUGUAGAGGAGCCCACAAGAUGGAUCUUGGCGAAAGGAGGAGCACCACCUCAGCCCGUGUUGUGCGGACGAUGAGCACGGCGGCGACCAGAGGGAGAGGAGACAGAGGUCUUGCUCUCCCCUGAGUGGGACGAGCCCCACGCGCCCGCAUCUUCUCCCUGCCAUGAGCACGCUCCUCCACCGCUGCUCAUCGCUGCCAAGCGGCGUGGGUGAGGGGGAAGGAGAGAUGGACGCAACCUGAGCUGCACGGGGGCCACAACCGAGCUGCCCGGAGGGGGGUGGCGCUCGAGUACCACUGAUGGUGCAGGGGAGGAAGAUGGGAACAAGGCGAUGUCUCCGGUCGUGGUAGGACAGGGCGAGGCGGCGAAAAUUGUCCGGGCAGCGAGCAGGGUGGCGGACCUUGCUGCCGGCGUCUGGAUCUGACGCGAGAACCACAGAGAUGGACGGAUUCAGUGUGGUGGCGCCCCCAUGGCCGGGCGGCGGGGUGGGAGGUGGUUGUCCCGGCGGUGGCUAGUGGCCACGCUGUCGUGUCCCACAGGCAGCUCAGUGGAAGGUGGUUGUUGGCGGCGCGUUGGGAGGCGGUGGCCCGGCGGCGCAUCGGGAGGUGGUGGUCGGCCGGGCGCCUGUGGAUAUUGGGUAGCCGGGUAAAUCCUGGGGAGGACGAGGUGGGGAUGGGGAUUUGGAUGGGAUCGAUGGGUGGGUGCUAGUUGGGGCGGGACAGAGGUGUUUUUUUUGACGGGGCGGGACAGAGGUGUUAGCAGAAUAAGCGAUUCAGUGUGCAGAAUAAGGUCUUAAGGGGUGUUAUUAGAAUAGACCCACCCUAUAUAUAUAUAUAUAGAUGAGUUAGGAUGGCUUCUGCACAGCAUCUCCAUCAUCAUUAUCAGUACAUCCUACGCAGGUGAGUUAGGAUGCACUUGAUCCCAGAAAGGUAUAUAUCCUUCAAACCAGAGGAGUGCUUCAAACUAACAACAUUACAUAAUAUCCAACAAAAGAGGGUCGUGCUACAGCAGGAGAAUACAUGGCUCACUCUAGAUAUCAGUACGAAUCAAGUUGUGCAUAUUUGCUGUUGGCAUGAACCACAUCACCGCAUGUCGGGUUUGCAAAAGCCAUCCAUCGCAUGGAAGCUUUAUGCCUUUCACAUACUGAAGAUUAUCUGGCAACAAGCAGUGUCGUUGAAUCUCUGGAUAUGGUGAUUCAUGAAACCCAUGGUAUGAUGUGUAAACACAGUCCCCCCUGGCGAAUGGAAGUUGCAUAGCACGGUUAUCAUCACCAGUGAUAUGAUCGAUGAUUGGUUGGAUGAUCGGAUAAUUGAGCCCUAGGAACAUGGAGUGGUUGCUGAGGCUGUAAACCCGCCUCCAGUUGAAUACUCCUGGCCCAACGGAGGUGAGAUCUUUCUCGAACAUGAAGCAGCACGAACGCCCCAUGCAUUGUACUACAUGUGGUUUGAUGUAAUGGUUUGAUCAAUUUGGUACGUGCGAAUGAGCAUCAAAUGACCGCCAUCAACUGAACGAGCGAUAAACCACCACCCAUCGGCUGGUAUGAUUCCAGGUCAUGGAAUCAUGAAGGCCAGCGCAUUUGCGUCUGCUGCAACAAUUCAAAUUGGAGACCAAAAGGACAAAAAUAAACAAUCAUGUUCAGAGUAUGUGUGGAAUUAAGAUUAUUAUCACAGUGACACAUAUCAUACACAGAGAAUUGCAAUGCAGUGGUCAUAAUCAUACCCCAAGUUAAAACAAUAAGCCAAUGGCUUUCAUAUUCUAGCAAUGUGUCAUGGUUCAAACAUCAUGUAGCAAUGAGAGGAAAACAGCUAUGAUAGAGCCUACUCAUAAUCUACCAUAACACUUACUACUAUUGUUCUCAUAUCAACUCUAAGCAAUAACAUGCGUUGUUAUAAAAAUCUUGGAAAUGAGAGUAACAUAUAGCAAUCAUGAGGUUAUGCUCAUAAUAUCUAUUCUAACAAUCAUUAGAUGCCAAUUGUUCUCAUAUCAACUCUAACAAUAACAUAUAACAAUGAUGUGGUUAUAGACAUACUAUCUAUUCUAAAUUUGUAACAAUGAACAGGCAGUCGUAUUCAUAAGGUAAAGAUGAAAUGAGAUAGAACAAUUACACGGCGAUAGGUUCCACCAGUAUAGGCAGCCAAUCUGUGCGUCGACUGCGUAAAUGAUGCCAUCAUGCACUAUAGCAUCAGACAGAAAUGUUGCCUCAACAGGAUUGACGAUGAGCCAUAACCAUGUAUGGCGACCAGAUUCCAGAUAGACCAAUCCCAUGUUGAACAAGGCAAUGAGCUUGUAAUCCACGUAGUCUUCUGAUGGUGUGGGCACUUCGCAGAUUACAACUUUCAGGAAACAGAGGUGAAGCCAAAAGCUUGACGCAUCUCGUGCAUAGUAGAUAGGAGUGUCUGGCGGGCCGCGAGUCUCAAUGGCGGUGGUAUCCAAUGAUGGAAGGGUGAUCUCUUGCUGGGUGCAGAUAUCCACGAGAUGCCACGGACUACCGGAUUUGGUGGAUGAGGACGAUCCAGUUGGCCUUCAUGCCCUCCCAGUAGUGGCCACGCAUGAAGGACAGGUGUGCGGGUAGUGGUAGCAUGUCGAGGGGCACCACGGCAACCUCCGUAGGAUCAUCAAGUCUGUGUCUGGGCCACCUGCGAGGAUCGGGCAUCAGCAAGCAGGGUGUCUUGAAAAGAGCCGGCCGGUUGUAGACGAGUAGACAGUACAAAGACAUCGAGCAUGCGGCCAGACGGACGGUGCUGAGUAGGUCCAUACGAUUAGAGAUCUGCUCCAGGACAACAUCGGGGAGGGAAUUCCAAUCACGUCUCUGCAUGUCAGUCGGUUCUGCCAUUGGGGUUUUCAGUGCCUGCGGGUCAGUGGGGAAGUGGAUUCGGGUGGACGAGUGAAGAAGCUUCUCCUCGUGUGGCCGAGCAGUGAGCGGGGGGAUAUGGUACGCGUGAUCUACCAAGGAAGAUGGUGCGGGCGGGUGAGCAGUGAGCGGGGGGAAAUGGUGUGCGGCUGACAAUGGGGAAGAGAGGAGGAAGAAGAGUGAAAGACGGGGAAGAAAGUGCAUUAAAUCUCAAUUCUACUAGUACUACUACCAGGAUAUACCGUCCUUCGGAGUGUAAAUAGUUACACCGAUGACAUGUGGGUCUACCUCAUGAGGGCCCAUAUGCCAGUUAAUGGAGGAGAGAGGUGCGUAGGCGUAUUUGCGGAAGCAUGCUGUACCGGCAAACAUGAUGGCAGUACUUGGUAAGGCUGAUUUAGUAACACCAACACGCUGGUUCAGCUUAUUAAUUAAGUGUCCCAUCUACUGCAGCGUGUAUUGUCACUUCACUGCGAAGACUAGUUGAAUAGUUCUCUCUGACCGAGAUGGGGAAUAAUAAUGGAUCACGAAGACUUCCUAUCUAUAGUAUCCCUAUGCCUCUACGCUCACUUGUUGAAAUCUCUAGAAAGACAAAUACUCCGUAUUUGGGAACAGAGGGAGGCUUUUACUCCGUAUUUGGGAAUUGAGGGAGUAUGGCCAUAUGGAGGGAACAGAGGAAUCUUGAAAAUGAACGUGCCAAUGGGAGGGAGUAAGACUCAUGCAUGCAUGCAUGCAUGCAUGCAUGCAACAUGAAACACUCACACGUACACAUGGACGCACGCAACACUCACACACCCAUGCGGCACAAAGCACACGAGGCAACACACACGCUCACGCUCAAGUGCUCAACCUACUCCCUACGUCCGUGAAAGACUGUACAUCUAGAGAUUUACACAUUGACCAGGGCAUAAUUAAUGCCCAAAAGUAGCAGACUUAUGUGUGCAUGCGACCAUUGAGAGAAGAAGAUUAAAUGAAGGUUGUUGCAUGCUAUAAUUAAGGAUAGACAUGUAGACUAUACCUAGAGCACAAGUUGGUGCAUUAGUCAAUCAAUAUCGAUUUAGAUUGAAGUCUAAAUGCAUUGGAAGUGUAGAUGUACUACACUCUUUGUUUUUUAGCCGAUGUACACUCUUUGUUGGAAGACCAAGGGAGUACAUGCGUGUGCACUCACAUACACAGCCAGGGUGGUUCGCGCGCAAGGAUUGGACUCCUGUCGCACCUGCGUAAAGUUUUGUUUAACUGAUUUCUUUGCUCUGCCAACUAACAAGUGGGACCCAGAAACUAGAUGACAAUUUAACCAGUCAACAAAGUGCCACGUCGACUAUGUGGCCGGUCAGUAGGGUGCAAUACGGUGCUCUACAUUGAUCUAGUGAUCGUAUAAUCACCACAAAACUAUAUAUAGUGACCGUAAAGAGCGUAUUGUUACAUACGUUGACCGCCAGUGUAUAUUUCUCAUUUCAAAUUAAGCCAUAUUAACCGGAAAGGAUGCACUAUGGACUAGUACUAGUACUACUUUGUUGUGUCCCGUCAACUUGCCGAACGAGGAGAAGCUUGCUUACUACGCCUCUCCCUCGCCCACGUGCGCGGUGGUUCACAGGACGAGGAGAGGGUUUUGACUACAGCGCCCUCUCCCUCUCCCUCUCCCUCGCCCUCGCCCUCGCCCUCGUCGUGGACAUGCAGCCGUUCAAUCGGUGUCAGAUUUCCAGAAGCAUAUUGUACUAUAGUAUCAUCAUUGUUGGACCUUCCGAAGAGGCAGAGAGACAAGUGCAAGGUUCACACGAGUACGAACAGUUGAAUCUCCCGAAGCAGCAAAGAGCCAAGCGCAAGGUUUUAUAGGAGUUGUCGUCCUAGUAGGAGUAUACUACAACUAUAGCGAAUGAUGCUACUAUAUGAUGCCGCCACGUCACCUAUAUCCAAAGUUGUGCCACCUUUUUUCUCAAAGAGCAUGUUGGACCCCUGCAACAACCACACAAGUUGCACAUACACAUAACACAUUUACUAGUAAUAAAUUCUAAAGGACAAAUGCCAGUAUGCCACACAAGUUCAUCUCCAAUUCAUGUGAUAAAUUUGUGCACGACUAGUUUACAUAUAUUCACUGCGCUACCAUUCACAAUUUACCGUACUCCACUUACACAUUAUAGAUGGGAUACAUGUCCUCCUCCAGGUUCCAGUCCCAGGUGUUCUUCAUGGAUGGCACGAUCCAUAGCGGUGGGCAACGGGAAUCAUUGUCGUAGCUUUCUAGUCCGGUUCCACAUGAUGGAGACUCAUCCAAGCUGAAGCGGCAUAAAUCAGGGAUAGCGUGUCCCAGCAUGUCGUUUAUCUAGCGGUGCGCACUGAAGACACAACCAUGCUUCAUGAACGGCAGGCCUUCCGUGUCGUGCACGGAAGGUGGCAUCCGCUUCACAAUGGGGUAGCUGUCCCCAAUGAAAAACAAGUACUCUCCAAGAGUGUUCCUCGGCACCCACAUAGCAUCACGGAGGUCGAACUCAGCGCUGUUCAUCUGGUACACGCGGCAUCUCAGAUCUGGACACAUGGUGACGUACAUAGUCAAGGUCCAUGCAUAAUAAUGUUGUGCUCAAAUAUGGCGGUCAGUAAUACUGUGCAGCAAAUAGUACUACUCCGGUAUAGAGGAAGUAAAAUAACCGGCUUAUUAUAUAUAGCAACUCUUGGCUACAUGGAUGAUAUAGUAAGACAUGGAAAAACAAAAAUGGUGGAAGCUAGUGGGUUCAAGUCUUCGAGGGCCUAGCUAGCUAUAUGUGUCCUCCAAGGUAAAAAGUACUCCUACUAGUACUAGUAAGUAGUACAACAAUGAAAGAGAAGGCAAGAGGGUUAAAAAAGGGAAUACCUGGGUAGAUGGUGACUAUCCGAUCGUGGUAGAUUGUGUGACCAUGUUGCACAUCAGUGGUACCAUGGGUAACGACUGGUAAGAUAGUUGAUCCCAACAUGCCAAAGUCAGCUACAAGGUUCCAGGUUAGACCGAAUUGCGGAUGCAAAUGCACAUCCAGGAUCAACGAUCUUAUUUUGAUCGGGGGAUGACUGGUCCCUGCAAAAUAAUGGAGUACCGUUAGGGAUGCAAAUGAUGGUUUGUGCAUUCCGUUUGUAAUCUCCUGCACCAUAGGAUGGCCACCAGAUGAAACAAGUCCCUUGGCUUGUCACCGCGAAGAUGCACCCUAGAUGGCGCACGGCGUCUUUGAACGUGCAGGAGUAGAAAUCUGCCGCUGCCAACAUGCGCCAGCCUUUGUCAUUACUACCUCUUGCAUUGAUGGGAAUCCUUGUGUCGAACACCGCGAUGAGAUAGUAAUCGUCGUAGCCGUGUCGCUUUGUCGGCAGGUCCGCAAUUGCUAUCUUCUUCAAUCUCGUGUAGGUAUCAUAAUAUGUAUUCAAGCCCAGCCAGUCCGGAAGGCCGAUCCCAAUGGUGGAGAAGGAGUCUAUGGGAACGGCCACACUGCUGUGGAUGUUGUGCAAAAUGAUGGUGGUAUCCGGCUGGAGGUAUGCAAACCAAUCUUUGUUGGCACCGACCCGGACCUAUAUAUAUAAGACGGUGGGCAGCAGAGAAAUUACGGGAUGGAAAUGGAAUAACUAAGUACUACAUGAUCAAACUCCAUUACUGACCUACUCAUCGGACAAAAUCCGACUACUUCUCAACGUUGGCAACUCUAGCGGAGUCAACGUGCAACCAUGGCCAGGGAGCGGUGGACUGUUCGAAGGAUUGUCCCAUAGAAGAACCUUCUCCUCGAGGACGCAUGGAAGACCAACAAGCAUGGCCUUUUCCCAAGCCUGUUUAAGCACCGUCUUGAAAAAGUUGGUGUAGGAAGCACCGAGUCUUGCGGCGGUGAGGACAUCGGAGCGGCGUGCGAUUUCUCCCAGAGGAUCGUCUUCCAAGGUCUCCCAGCCCCGACGUGGAGGAGAACCGCCUGGCAAAUCCAUGGGAGCAGCAACAAACUAACUUCUCUUCGAGGGGAGGGGAACUGGCGAGGAGGAGAUAAGAGCAUAGUAACCGCAGGGCCUCGUCCCUUCCAACUGUAGAUCAUUCCUUAGUGAAGGGGUGAGGCUAUUAUUUACUACUAGUACUAGCAUUAUGGGACGUUAUGGGAUUGCAUUAUACUGUAAAUAAUAGCACUAGUAAGAAAUUUUUGGCACUAGGUAGUAGUUUUUGGCGUGGAUUAAGAAAUUUUGGGUAUGUUUUUGCUAUUUUUUGUACACGCCAACUAGUAUCAGAAAAUGUCUUACAUUAUGGGACGGAGGAGUACGUACUCGUACUGUAGCAGUACUAGUACUACUUUCUCAACUAGUAGUGCGAUGUACUGUACUUCUAGUAUAGUGCACCAGUUUUGAACUCUUGAAUCUCAGGGCCAAGGAGCUACAGUUGGAAGUGGAGGGUACUACUGCUUUCUAGAACCAUCGCUGUACUAUCAAUGCAGGGAAAGUACACCUGUGUAGUGGCCUAGUGGGUACUCUCGUUGCUCUAUUCAGCCACUCCUCUCACAUAGCUGGCCUACUCGGCCGCUCCUCUCACGCACACACUAGCAGCUUGUUUAGCAGUGACGGUUACUAUGGGGGCAGAACAUUUGAGUUAUUUGAUACAACGAGACUAUGCUUUUCGCUUCCAUUUGUGCAGGUGUAAUGGAUCUCGUCGAACUUUGUUAGUAGUUCCUUCUUUAUGAAUGAGAUGAGGCAAAGCUUUUGCCUCCAUUUCAAAAAAAAUCGUCAAGAGGAAUUAGUUUUAUAGAGACGAUAAUGGAGUGAAGUCCAUGCGUGCAACGCCAGAAGCUACAGAGUAGUAGUAGAGCACUUUACGUACAGAGCCAUAUUGCACAGUUCCCAAUGCCCCGCCAGGCUUUUCCGGCUCCUCGGGCUUAAUUGGGAGGCGCUAGUUUAAAUAUACUACUAGCUAAUGAGGAAGCUGCAAGCGAGGUGCGGCUAGGGCGAGCAUGCGAGCCAUGAGAUGAUGGGAAGAAAAACCCGUUCACAUGGCUAGGCUAUCCAGUGCACCCAGAUUGUGGUGUCGCACGUCCGUUUGACUUCAAAACUCAAACUACACAUGUACAAUAUUGGCUCGCGGUGAAGUUACUAUAUAAAAAAAGGCCACAGUGCGUUCGGCCGGGAUCGAACCCACAAAACGAGGUAUGCACUCCCGCGACCACUAGUAGUACUCGUUGGAGUACAACGCAACCUAGAAUCGCCUUUUGUCGCUAGUAGUACAUUGUUCCUUACUAGAAACCACUAAUAAUGCCAAGAAACUACUACCACUUGCAUGCGUUGCACACUUAAGAUAAGACUACCUUAUCAAACAUUGUACAUGCCCUUACCAACUAGCCCUACCAGGAAACGGCUACUCUACAAAGUGUCGUUGCCCUCCACUAUGUAGGCCAAAAUCGAUGCCAAAUUCACUUUUUGAACAUUUGGCACCGGUGCGCUACAUAGCCCAGCCGACGCCAAAUAAAAAUUUCAGGGCAUCGAUUCCUCUACUUGCUCCGACGCCACAUUUUGUUGAGGCAAUAAACUAAGCAACCACUAUACUUUUGCAUGUGAGGCACCACCGGCGAGACACUGCUUUGAGCUGGUAUAUUACUAGUUUAUACGUAGGUGGGCCAGAGGUGGAUGGGUGCCAAAUUCUUCAUGUUGUGGUGCCGGUGCUAAACUUUUUACAUUUGGCAUCGAAGUGUAUGUGGCAAACCUUUUAAAUUUCUGGCACCAAACACAUAGUGGAGUGCCUUAUAGUCACGUUUCAACCCAUGUCGCCCAUUAAGUCAACGUCUUCUAUUCGACAAUAAUGUUAGGCCUUAUGACUUGUGGGACCUACAUGUCAGUCUGCACAAAAAUCCCCAAGUGACCUCCUACCUCCAGCCCGUCCACCUAAUCAUCCUCGGCCAUGGGACGCAGCUACCGUCGUCGACAGAAGGUGAGGUCAAAACCGCCGGUGGUGUGGAGCCCAUCUUGCGACGGCCCGGAUGCCAGCUCCGUCCGGUGCUCGCGGCCGCUAGCUACCCAGAUAGCUCCAUCCAGCUGCUUGUCUGCAAGGUUUGCUAGCUAGAUUGGCACGGCGGUGCGGCGGCUUGCUCACACGCAUCGUGCUAAGGCCAGCCAUCUGGCUCGAGCGAAGGCCAGCGCGGCGGCUUGCUCGCUCGUGAGUCACGCUCGGGCCAGCCUGCCAACCCGUGCGGAGGCCAGCGCGGCGUCCGGCCCGUCCGGCGGAGCGGCGGCUAACUCACUCAUCACCGGCACCACCGACGAACACGCAUUAGUACUGUUUUAAGUAAUGUUUAGGAAAAAUAAUGAUUUGUGGGGGAAUAACUAGAUAGAAGGUCAGAUGUGGGUCCCUCGUGUCAACGGUCAAACAAAAGGUGUUGGUUUAAGCUGCCUCAUCAGUACGGACAUGUGGGUCAACCUUGUCAUAAACGGGUUUAAACGAGCCUAAUCAACACUAGGUAGUAGUUUUUGGUGUGGAUUAAGAAAUUUUGGGUAUGUUUUUGCUAUUUUUUGUACAAUAGAUUCUUCCUAGGGCUCGUUGAAAGUGGUAGUUUUUUGUUAAAUACUCUACAUAUUGUAUGCAGGAGUGGAAGUUAAGCUUUGGAAGCCAAUAAGCAAUGCUAGUUACAUAGUGCAUAUGUGUACAUGAUUGAAAGUAAAUAUCAACCAUGAGUGACUAAUAUCUUGAUGGAAAACUCGAAACUAUGGAAAUACUAGGAUUUUUUUGCAUGGUUGGAAAUACUAGCAAUGUUCAUGUGCGUUGCAAUGGAUCAUAAUUAGAAUAAUACUUAUUCACAAACUUGAUACAAAAUCUAAUUUUGAUAUACAUAUAUUACUAGAGAAAUAUUAUGUUUUAGUUAAAAUAUAUUCCGUGGGCUGUUUUGGUGAGGUGAGGGAUGGAUGUGGUUGGUUAUAAGAUACUAAUUAUGGGUUUUUCUUUAAAUUGGUAGAGAAGUGGGAUGUUGGUGAGAAAAGGUAGCAACUUACCUCACAAUCGUUAGAUGUAGAUCUAAUGGUCAGAAACGACGGAUGGCAAACACACCAUCAUCACCAACUUAGUCUUCUAUAGGAGUACUAGCAAGAUCCGUGCAUUGCACAGAACAUCAAGAUGCAUUUUUUUAAAACACUUGUUGUGAUUGACCCAUGCGGGAGUAAUCCCAUGCGUAAACACUAAUGAUAUCUCAAGAAAUAGGAGAUAAGGUGAAGAGGAGUGGGGCGUGGUGGUGAUUGGUGGUCGAACUGAGCAGAGGCAUGGGGAUUGACGACAUCAGCAGCGGCCACCAGGCCAGUUUGUUCCGGAGGCUUCCUUUCUUAAUUGCUCAACAAUGAGGUUGUUGGAGAUAAGGAUGAAUGAGGGAAGGCCUUGUCUGCAAAUGUGGAGAGAGGUGCGGGUAUCUUUUUGUUUAAUUUCCAUCCGUCAGAUAUAGAUCAGACGAUCUAUAUUGCAAGAUGGCGCGCGAACCAUCAUCACCAACUCGGUUUUUUAUAAGAGAAGAAAUAUAAGCAUGGAGAUACUUGUUUCCGUAAACUAGCAUCUACAUUCUAUUCAACGCCUCAUCAUGUGGGGCCUUAGCACAAUGACUUCUCAAUUGUGUAAAACAGAGGUUUUCCCAUCGCCGAUGAGGAGGGGGUGACGGCGGCGCGCUUUUUGGCUUGCUCUAGUCCUAGUAGUCAUACUAGGUGGUCUACGCACUUGUAUAUUUAUUAUUUUUCACGUCUCGUGUUCGCCAUACUGCCACGACUGUUGAUGAAUAGACGGUAAGUUAUUCACGAGGAAACCCUUGUUGAGUGUGUUUGCGAGAGAGAGAGAGAGAGAGAGAGAGAGAGAGAGAGAGAGAGAGAGACGGUGUGCAUGUGUGAUAUGUCUAGAGACUGAGACAAUGAUAAGAGAUUCUUUGUGUCUAUGUGUGUGGAGGAUAGAGAGAGACAUGUACAUGGGGCUUUGUGUUGUGUAACGUGGAGACACAUAUACAUAAUCAGAGAGUGAGUGUGUGAGAUACACAUGCGGACAUGGGGAGAGAUGAGGAUCUAGAUAAAUGGGUGUUUGUGCGUGUUUGUGUGUGUUUGUGCGCGCGUUUGUGUGUCAGAGGGAGUUUGUGUAUGUGGAGUAGAGAGACCACUAAUGAUGUAAACCUAAUAUAAGGGAAGGGGGAAUGGUGUGACAUGUGUAGUAGCGGGAUAGCAUGGGUGCGGGCUGGGGGAGCAGACUGUUUGGAAGAGACAUCGAGUGUGUGUGGGAGAGGUGUGUGUGUGUGUGUGUGUGUGUGUGUGUGAGAGAGAGAGAGAGAAGGGGCGAGAGAGGGGUCGUUUGUGUCCAUAAAUGGCGUAUAGUUAGGGAGACAAUGUUGAUGUUGUUCGAAAUUGGCCUAUGUACGGAGACGCAAGGGAAGCGAGUCAUCGUGUGUGUGAUAGGGACUUCAUGAGAGAUGUAGAAUAGAUGGUGUAGAGAACAAUGUGCGAGAUUGAGAACGAUGAUACAUUAGGGAGCUAUGGAAGGAGUCACGACAUAUAUGUAUACAGGGAAGGAGCUGGGGCGGGUCCGCAUGUGGGAGAGAUAUAAAGAGGAGAGUGGUGCACAAGGAGACAAAGUGUGCUUGUUUGCAGUGGGGGUGGUGUGUGAGGUGAGUGUGCAAGAACCACAUAACUAGGGAGAUAGACGUUUGGGGGCGACGUUUUGUGUGUAUGGGAAAGAUACACUCUACAUAGUGCGUGUGCUUGGGAAAGAGAGAUGCCGGGAGACCUAGAGAGCGGGGGAAGAGAUGUGUGCAUGCCCGAGAGACAAAGUGAUAGAGACCUAUAUUGGGGUACGGACUUUAGAAGAGAGAGGGGUGUUAAUGUGCUCGUGUGUUGGUGUGUGGGGGAGAGAACGACUUCUGUGUGUGGGGGGGCGAUGGGUGGGGGGUUGGUUUCAGAUAAAGAGUGAGGUGUCUAUAUUUGAGGGACUUUAGCGUAAUUGAGAUAUAUAUGGUCAAUAGUGUGUGCACUCAUGGUUGAUCAAUUUGUUUCACAGUUUGGACUAUGAGAUAACGAUAGUUUUGAACAUGCAUGAUAUACCUUGAUGUACCAGAAUUACAAACCUAAGAUUGGAAUUUUGGAAUUCGAAUCCAUCAUUAACUUUUGUAAUUCACUUAAACGGAGGUACAUUUUUUAAGUUGGGAUUUCGUGAUUUCAAAUUCAUAUAUCAAACCUAGAGAUAUACACAUACGGGCAUGUUCAAACUUUAUAAUCAUCCAUUUUAUUCAUACACAUACACAUUUUUGCUUUUGUCAUCGUAUUUAGGAUGAACACAUUUGGAAUUUCAUUUGAAUUGGACCGUAUGAUGGUAUUUUCUUGUACUAGCUCAAUGAUCCAUAUUUGAAUUGAAUGGACAAUCUAAGUUUCGAGUUGGAGACAUUGAUUUUCGAAACAUGCACUUUUUUUGCGUGCAAAACAAACAAAUUCUCGGCCAUGAUAUCAUAGUCGGCCGUACAAUAGCAGAAUAUAAUUUCAGGCGCCGAAAGCUUUCAAACUUCCCGCUCACAUCGAAAUACUCGCGCCCGAAAGUUUAGCACUGCGAUAUUCUUGUUUUACCCUUGCCACAUGAACGGAAAAGGGCUGCUUUGGUAACUCCAUUGUUUUCCCCUCUUUGCCCCCAACAUUCUUCCCCAGAGCCCCUCCCCUUCCCCUCCCCACCCCCAACCACGGCAAGCAGCCGAAUCCAGUCCUCCACCGCAGUGCUGGACCUCACACCCUGCCGGAUCUACCUUCCGCACCUUGGAACCCCCAACUGUCAACUCACCACUUCAUCGGAGCCGCUUCAGCGACUGGCUUGUCCACCGCUCCAGAUCUCCUUGACCGCCAUCAUUGUCCACCACACCAGAUCUUCUUAACCGGCGCCCUCAUCCACCACAGUGUAGGCCCUUCACUGAGCCCCUCGUCCGCCCCACACCGGCCCUUCAUACAAGCCCUCGUCUGCCGCAACAGAUCCGCCUCACCAAAAGUACUGUACAACGCGUCCGCCGAAACCUUCGUCCAUUGCACCGGACCCACUCCACGGACACCAUAUUCAAAUCCAUCGGCCCUGCUUUAUCUAUGCCACAACCUCAUCAGGUUAUUUCGAUUUGUACUCCUUCAGGUUUUCUCUUUAUCGUGCAACUGUUCACUUACCACAGAUGAUAUUUCUUGUAUGUUGACAGGCGCCGCAACCGUAGCACUGGAGUCGCUUCAGCGACGGCGACAGCCGGCCCAAACUCAACCGCAACAUGAGCACCAUCGACGAUCCUUAGCUAUCAAGUAUGACAAUGAUACCCAUACGCCGCCGAGAAUCAGGUACUAUUAUCCAAUGGCCGGUGCCUACGUUCACUUUCUUAGCAUAAGCACCGCACCUUUGAAUUUCUUCAGGGCAUCAUUCAUUUUUUCAUGAGACGCGUUAUUCUGCUUGCACCUGUAGGGCCAUACUUCUGGCAGUGAACAUGUUACAUGUGCUAAAUUACAUACCAGUGCACAUAUAGUUAAUAUGCUUUAGUUUUAUCCUAAGUAUUACUAUACUUCCUAGAUAUCAGUGCCUACUAUUUUACUUCUUGCAUGCUAUAUUUAUGAUAAUGGUGUUGUUCUGAUGCCACCUGUUGGUUCCAUCAAACUGCUUCAUGUUCUCUAUGCUUAAUUACACAUCAGCAAACUAGCAUGUGGUUCCGCUGCUUUUUGUUCGUUUUACCCUACAUUUUCUGAUGCCACUACUAGGAAAAGGCCUACUAGUGGCGCACCAGUUUUGCCUACUAAUGGCGCACUACUGGUGCGCCACUAGUACCGUGCCACUAGUAUUUUUUACUAAUGGCGCACCUGUGGUGCGCCAUUAGUAUCUGGUAUACUAAUGGCGCACCACAGGUGAGCCAUUAGUAUAGCCCAAGGUGCCCCAUUAGUAUGCAUCCUAGGGGGCCAUAUUUACCCAGGUGCUUUGGCGUACUAAUGGUGCACCAUGGUGUGAUGCGCCAUUAGUAUCCUUUGGCAUACUAAUGGCGCACUAUAGGGUGAUGCGCCAUUAGUAUCCUUUGGCAUACUAAUGGCGCACUUUGUGGUGAUGCGCCAUUAGUAUGAAUAUUAGGUUUUUUCUUACUUUUCUGAUUUUUGCAUAGGUUACAAAAUGUAUUAUUGGACAGAAUAUAGACAGCACCACACAUCAAUAGCAGAUUCAUUGAAUACAAUAGAAGAUUAGUCUCCGAAUACAAUUCAUCAUAUUAGUCUUUGAAUUCAAAAGACCGAACAAAGACAGAACAUUACAAGUCUCGGGGACCGCGAGUAGCGAGUUUGUCUUCACAUUACAAGUCGAUAUCGAUCAUCUAAACUACCAUCACAUAGAAGAGAGCUGCGGUCAUCAUGAUGAGCAUCAUCGCGAUGAAACUGGUCUUCAUCCGGUUCCUCCAACGCUCCCCCCUCUCUCCGCGCUAGAUAGCUAUACAUCACUACUCCGAGCCUCUGUUCAUUAAUUCUUUGUCUGUUCUUGAUCUUCCCAAGUUACAUGACUAUUUUGAUGCUUCUAUUAAUUAUGGAGCUGCCAACCCCAUCAUGCAAAAUAUUUGUCCUUUUGGGGCUGGCACCUUGAACAAGCAUAAAAAUAGAGGGAAGCAGAUAUAUUGUCGUGUAUGCACACACCCUUCUUUCAUUAGUUUAGAUGAACCAUUGAUGAUCAAUUCGGACCAGUGCAUGCGACUAAAAUUAAUUUUACCUAAAUAGAGGGUGCAAAAUAAACUACAACAACUAGAUUUGCAACCAUGGGAUGCUGACGAUAUCUUCAAAGAACAUUGCAACAACAGCGAGGCUUCACAGCAACAUAUGAUAAGCCAGUGUGUUUUAGUACAUGUGAAAUGUAAUGCCAGUGGGCUACUUUCUUGGCUUCUGCCCUCAACCUGUAAUCCUACAGAAUUACAAAUAGUUCAGUUGUCUACUUUGUUGUAUUGCUUGAUUCGAAUGCUUGUUUGUUACUUGUUGCGCUAUACCUGAGUUGGCCAAUAUGUCAGCAGUGCCUAUUGUACUAUCAUAAAGAAUGCAUGCCUAGUUCAUUUGAGUCCUUAACUUCUCCUCUGAACUUCAUCACAAGACUAUCUUCAUAGUUUAUAUGAGGCCACACUGUUAAGUGCUUUCUCAGAUUAUUUCAACUUCUUAGAUGCCUUGGCAACUUAAAUAUAGCGGUGGUACACUCCCUUUCAACUUGGGAUGUCAACUGGGUCACGGUUAAUCCCGAUUAAAGUCCACUAGUGCUAUGAUAGUUCAAAAGAGUUUUUGUUUUUUGAGGAAAAUGAACUAAGGAGCUAGCAAAAACGAACUAGAUGGGACUGGCAGAUGUCGUUUAUUUGCCACUUACAUCCCUAGUUUCAUCUUACCAUUUUAAUUUCUUUUGGGCUGAUGCUGCUUUGAACCAUUUAAAUAUAGCUUGCCAUGCUCGGAAAUAAUUAGUAUGUCGUUUACCAUGUAAGCUUACUGCCUAGAUCAUGCGAUAACUAUCUCUUACUUGGAAACCUCUCAGGAUGCCGUUUACACUAGGACACAAUGUACAACCCCAUAAUCUAUUUGUGGAAGCAGUGUGCCAUCCAUGUUACCAGAUGAUAGCAGUUCAGAGGCAAGACAGUCGGAGAGCAGUCUGAGCACAUAUAUUAUAGUUCUUGAGGCUCUACUAGAGGCAAAAAGAGAUGGUGUGGCUGCCAUGAAUGAGGUGAUCUUUAUCUUGAGGCCGGAAAUUAUUCAAUUAGCGGCACGCAUUAUGCAAGCAACCCAAGAAUUGGAGGAAGUAAGAAUGUUGCAUUUGAAGAUGGAGGAGGUCCUGCUGUUUCCGCUAUCUGAAGCCCAGGGUAAUCCCGGUUCUUCUUUAGAUACAAGUUUAAAUUGUCAUUAGAUUAUUGUACUUGCAUGUUGUGUCAUGUCUCUGAAUGGAUUAUGUUGUAAGACCCCCUGUGUUGUCCAUGUGUUGUAAUGAUCCGAAUUUUUUAGGCGAGGUAAUCCUCAGUACUUGUAUGAUUAACAUAAGGUGAAUUGUUUUUCGUGUGAGCAUAUUGUAUUGGAUGGAAUAACUGUUUGACUCAAAGUGUAUCCAACCUACUAAACUCGAAGAUCACGACAUUUCUAAAUCAUAAUCAUAUAUAAUGGUGGAAUAAAUCUUUGUUGUGGUUUUGAAGAAAUAAUUAACAAAACGUAGAAUUAUCUGUGGAUAUCGUAAUCGAAUACAAAUUGGAUUUGAAUUUAGUUGCCAGGGCCUAGGGCAAACAUGAAUGCUAAUUCUCCCAAGUUUUGAACGAAGCGGCUAAACACCCACUAUAAUUUGUGGGGUGCCCGAAGCAAGUGUUUGCGAGAUGGAGAUGACUGUCUACCCUUGAUACUUGACAAGUGGACAUCCUUAUCGACCGGUGUUGGUGUCAAAAUCGGCGGAUCUCGGGUAGGGAGUCCCGAUCUGUGCGUCUAAGGCUAAUGGUAACAGGAGGCAAGGGACACGAUGUUUUACCCAGGUUCGGGCCCUCUCGAUGGAGGUAAAACCCUACUUCCUGCUUGAUUGAUCUUGAUGAUAUGAGUAUUACAAGAGUUGAUCUACCACGAGAUCGUAGAGACUAAACCCUAUGAGCUAGCCUAUGAUGAUUAUGAUUGUCCUUCCACGGACUAAACCCUCCGGUUUAUAUAGACACCGGAGGGGGCUAGGGUUUACACAAGGUCGGUUACAAAGAAGGAGAUCUAAUAUCCGGAUCGCCAAGCUUGUCUUCCACGCAAAGGAGUCCCAUCCGGACACGGGAUGAAGUCUUCAGUCUUGUAUCUUCAUGGUCCAACAGUCCGGCCAAAGUAUAUAGCCCGGCAGUCCGGAUACCCCCUAAUCCAGGACUCCCUCAGUAACCCCUGAACCAGGCUUCAAUGGCGAUGAGUCCGGCGCGUAGAUUGUCUUUGGCAUUGCAAGGCAGGUUCCAUCUCCGAACACUCCAAAGCAGAUUAAGGAUUGUGUCCAACUCUGUGAGAUAAUUUCCGCACACCACCGUAGAGAGCAUAACACUUCACAAAUCUGAUCUGUUGACAACAUUUUUUUAACGGUGUGCCCUUACGCCGUGGCCUGGUCUAGCACGGACCGGUUUUUCUCAGCCUGCCUCGAUACACGUUGCGAGGCGGUUUCAUUGGCACGCCUCGCCAAAACAGAGAUCGUGGUCCUCUUAUCGCGGGAUCUUCCAUCAAUACGGGCGCGAGCAACCCCAUGACGCCCGUUGGUAUCACUCCGUGUUUUUAGGUAAGUCCCAGGCGGUUACGCUAAGGAUGCUUGAUAUUCACCCCCUUUAUAGAGGGGCCGAGGCCUAUCCCUCUUUUCUACCAUGCUUGCGCCUUUUCGCAUCUCGAGUUCUAACAUCCGAAGCCCAAGCUCAAGCACUUCAGAUCUUCAAUCAUGUCCGGAUCCAACCUUCAAGGCCGGUGGAUGACCUCCUCAAUCAUAGAGGAGGACAUCGCAAAGCUUAGGGAGGUCAGAGAUCUGACCGCCGACAUCAAGCAGAGGCUUCCUGCUCAAGGGCAGGUCAUCCAUACUCCCGAGCCCAACGAGAGCGUCGUAUUUGUUUCUCACUUCCUCCGCAGCUUAGGCUUCACCCUUGAUCCCUUUGUGAGAGGGCUCAUGUUCUAUUACGGGCUAGAUUUUCAUGAUCUAGCUCCGGACGCCAUCCUUCACAUCUCGUCGUUCAUCGUUGUGUGCGAAGCCUUCCUCCAUAUCACCCCGCACUUCGGCUUGUGGCUCAAGACCUUUAAUGUGAAGCCGAAGAUGAUUGAGGGGCAACACGCGGAGUGCGGAGGUGCUGCAAUAAGCAGGAAUAGCGACGCCCCAUGGCCAGAGGGCUUCUACUCGGAGGUGUCCUAUCUAUGGCAGCGGAGGUGGUUUUACGUCACGGCUCCCAGAGGCACAAAGUGGGUGGCUGCCCCCGACUUCCGUUCGGGCCCUCCGCCUCAGUUGGCGUCAUGGGCCAAUGUAGGAUGGGAUUGGGGGCCUGCUAGUGAUGUACCAACAUUAUAGAGACGCAUCCGGGAGCAUCUUGAGAGGGACAUUAGCCUUGUCAGCGUAAUUCAGGUAAUGCUAGUCCGAUGGAUGUUGCCGUGCAAAUGCCGGCCUCUCUGGAUGUGGGAGUUCAAUCCGGAAGGUCCGUGGACUAUUCUGCACUUCUUCGGCUUGACGCUCGAAGGGAUGUCUAAGUUAUUCUUCGGACCACAAGUAAAGUGUUCGGACACCACCGAGGAUGCGGGCCUGAGCUGCAACCGACCAGAUACCCGAGUAAGUAACCCAAAAACCGAACACUUCGUUCAUAUUUAUCAUAACAUUAUUCUAAAAACCCUCCACGGCCAGGAAUGGCUCAGCAAGGCAGAGAGAAUCAGGUGUCCGGCACCACUUCCCGAAGGCUCACCUAGUCCCGCCAUAGCCAAGAUGCUUGGUCGUGUGCUAAGUCAAGUGCCCUCGGGGAAAGACGAAGGGAAGAACAGAGAAGCAGAACUUCACACAUUGCGCAUCCAAACCGGGGGAAUUGCUACCUCCAUGACGGAAGAUAGUCGAGGAGGGGAAUCUAAGGUCUCCUCCCCUCGCGGGAAGAAGAGGGCCGCCUCCGAAGACUUGGAGACGGAGGUGCCUAGACAAGGGAAGAAAACCUCACCAGGGGGCCCUGCCCUGAAGGGUGUCCUCACCGCGCCAUGCCCGCAAAUGGGCCAGCCCUCAGUGGAGCUCUAAGUUAAUCGUAAAUAUAAAGCUACUACUUCCUCCUCCGAGAACAAUAACCAGGAUCCAUUCUUUGCAGUCCGGCUAGCAGCUCUUCUCGACAGAGUUCGUCUUUGGGGGAUCUCCUUCCGGAGAUGAUGGAGAGUGAAACCCCACCAACCUCUACGCCUCAUGGGGCGGGCGACCCCGAGGUGUCGUCAUGGAGGAGUCCGGAUUUUCCGAGGCCAAAAGCUAGUACUUCGACCGCCCUGAGCCCGGAGCUAUAAGAAAGGUCCGGCACAGUUCGGCGACCGGCCGGACACGCUGAUGGGCCUUCUGGAGCGAGCUGCUCUCUCGGAGGAUCACCGUUCAUUAAUGAGCAUGGUGCUUGGGAAGAUUUCAUUUGCCACAAGAAGGCUGAAUGAAACUUUUACGAGCCUGCUCAGAGGCUUUGAGGGAUGUAAUGAAAUACGUAAUUUUUGGUUAUGGCACACGCGCUAGGUGUGCUCCAUAUGGAUAGUAGCCCCUGAGACACUGGUUGCCCGCCCUAGGUGGCAAACGGAGGAUCACAUUGUUGAGGAAUGAUCGCAUUGUAUUUAUGCGCAGGUGGCUAAGGAUCCGGUAGCCGACCGGUCCGUUGAAGUCGCUGAACUGAGGAGGUAGAUUGGAGUUGUGGAUGCCGAUAUCACACUUGUGAACGAGCGGCUUGACGAGUCACAAAGUAUGUGCUCUUCUUUCCUUAUUUUUUAUAGGAAAUAUUAAGCGGAGCAUAAUGUUAAUGUAGUAUGCUUGGGCUGUAGGCGGAGCUGCUGCCGUAGAGGCCCUGAGGGCGGAACUCGCCCUAGCCAAGGAACAAGCCCGGGCUAGCAAUGCGGCUGCCCUAAAGGUGGCCGAAGAGUUGAGAGCCAAACAGGCUUCUCAUCGCCGAAGCGAAGAAAAAAUAGCCGAGAUGGCUGUGGAGCUGAAAAACGCCGCCGACCAGUAUGAGCUCCUUGAAAAAGAGAGUCAGGCUAAUUCGGCUGACCUGAAGAAGGCCCUUGAUGCGGCCAAGGAGACGCGUUCCGAUAUUAGGGAUGCGCGGGAGGAGCUUCGACAGGCCAAAGAAAUCGCAGCUGGAAACCCCUAUUUAUUGCGGAUGAAGUUCUUAGAUCUGAAGUACGCUCCUCUGGAUCGACGCUGGAGCCCUGCAGACGCGUAUGUGGAUCUGGCGAAGAGUACGGCUGAUGCGGCCAAUUUUUUCGAGGAUCAAAAAGAUAAUGAAGUGGAAAAGCUGUUCUGGUCGCAAUUCAGUGCUCUAACGUGCCCGUUGCCAUUGAUUGAGAGGAUGGCUGCUGUGGCCGAGCUCCAUAGGUUGUUCGGUCUUGCAAUGAGGUCUGUAAUAGACCAUCUAUGGCCGAAGGGGCUGAAGCCGGACAGUUAUUUUGGUUUAGUGCAACAAUUCCUUGGUGCCGUAUCGCGAAUCGAUGCCAUGAAAAGGUCGGCGUGCAUAGAGGGUGCACGGAUGGCUCUUGCCCGUGUUAAAGCAUAUUGGACAGAUAUGGAGGCCACGAUCAUUGCGACCCAGAAUCCGGCGGGAAGCCAGGAUCCAGCCGAGCACUACUUGGAGCAGUUAACAGAAGGUGCUCGUUUAAUAGAGGCUCAGUGCUCGAAGAAUGUCAUGUUCGAGUGUCAAAUCAUUUCAUUGUAAAAACAAUUUAAUUUUAAUUAUGGAGGCUAUGUUUAUACUUUUCGCCCGAAAGUGUUAUUGUGCCUCCUGUGCGGCCGUUUGAUGUAUGUAUGUAAUCUGAAAGUUAGCAGUCGUUGGCUUCAGCGCCCAUGCAUACAAUGCGGGGGUGUUCGCGAGAACAUGCGUAAUCACACUUGAUACAACGUCUUGGUCCAUUAAGGAGGUGAUCGCAUGUCGAACUAGGCAACCGGACUAUAUAGCUUUUACACUUUCACUUAGCCAUAGGAGUUUGACGGUGGGGCUACUAUGUAGCCCCUGGUACUUUUGCGUGCAUCCGAAUACGAGCGCGUGUGUUCAUGACCGGGAAACGGUCCUUCGUUAAUGCGGAGGAAUCCUAAAGAUUCCGAUGAGUCCUCGAGUGGUUGACCAGUCUCUCGCUAUAUCAUGACAGUCAGUUUUUGGCUUUCUCCAGUGAGGUGCUCAUCCGGAAUAACCAGGGCACAAUCGCAGUAGUUCUCCUUUGUCCGCCUUAGCCGAUAAGAACGGAAUGUAACGCGGCAAAGCCAGGAGCCGGGCAAACCCAACAUUUGACCAAAGACAUGCUUCGGAGCUGAUGCAUAUAAGGCCAAACUCGCGAUGCCGAACACUCCCGAAGGUAUUCGGACUUUAGAACAUAUACUGGGCCUGAAGAACACCCUUUAUUAUGAACCCUAUAUUUCCAGGUACGUGCAUUAGUCUGUUGUGGUGAAAUGCCAAUAACGGCAGUAUCCCCUGGGGGUGUAGUACCCAUGGGAUGUGUAAGCAACAAGAGACAAUAAAGAAGGUUUAGACAGGGGCUUAAUCUAAAGAGAAACCUUUGAGCGGGGCCCUUCUGCACGUCUGCGCCUUUGUCUCCGUUGUGCCAUGUCCUGGGAGGGUAUCGCAUGAAUGAUGUCUGUAAAAAGGAAAACUCAUGUAGAAGAGUAUGACGUAAGCGUGCGCAGAGUUGACUAUUAUCAAUGGAUAGAGAAGUGUAAGACAUUGGCCUGUUAAUAAGAUCAAGCCGAAAGGUGGGCUUUAUUGAAUAUUUGAAGCCCAUGGUGUCCUCUAUGGGAUUACAUUUAUAGCGCCCAACUCAGGUUUAUCUGGGCUGCCGGACUCGUCUAACCAUGUCCGUGGUCUUAACGACCGAUCAUGCAUUCUGAUAUUAGAGGGCGCUUAGUGUCCGGCUGCUGGAGCCGUCAUGUACUCUUCCGCGCGUAAGGGACGCUCUGUAUUUUCCGUUAACGGUGAUGACGCCACGUGGACCGGGCAUCUUGAGUGUAAGGUAGGCAUAGUGCGGUACUGCGUUGAAGCGGGCGAAGGCCGUUCUCCUGAGAAUUGCAUGAUAACCACUUUGGAGGGGGGCGAUGGUGAAGAGUAGUUCUUCGUUUCUGAAGUUUUCUAGGGAACCGAAAGUCACCUCUAGUAUGAGGGAGCCCCUGCAGCGGGCUUCAAUGCUUGGUAUCACCCCUUCAAAGGUGGUGUUACUUUGGUUGAUUCUGGAUGGGUCUAUCCCCAUCCUGCGGACAGUGUCUUGGUGUAUUAGAUUAAGACUACUCCUGCCGUCCAUGAGGACGCGAGUGAGAUGGUAUCCGUCGAUUAUUGGGUCGAGCACAAAGGCAGCUGAUCCUCCGUGCCGCAUUCUAGUCGGGUAGUCCCUGUGAUCGAAGGUGAUCGGGCGGGCCGAGCAGUGGUUAAGUUUGGGGGCGACGGGCUCUAUAGUGUAUGCGUCUCUGAGCGCGCGUUUGCGCCUUCUCUUGGGUGAGUGAGACGCAUGGAUCAUGUUUACUGUUUUUACCUCUGGUGGGAAUUUUUUCUUUCCCCCACUGUUCGGCUGGCGAGGCUCAUCCUCGUCUUCACUUGGUGAUUCCCUUCCCUUGUGUUUGGCAUUUAAUUUGCCAGCCUGCUUAAAGACCCAGCAUUCUCUGUGAGUGCGGUUCGCAGGUUUUUCGGGGGUGCCAUGAAUUUGGCAUAGUCUGUCCAGGACUUUGUUCAGGCUGGACGGUCCCUCUUUGCUGCCUUUAAAUGGCUUCUUUUGUUGACCGGGACGAGAGCCCCUGAAUCCGGCGUUGACCGUUGUGUUGUCCGGACUUUCUUCCUUGUUUUGUUGUUUGUUUUUAUUGCGCCGUGGCUUCCCGUUGCCAUCCUUGAUUUUGGAUGUACUUGGGUCGCUGGUGCCUCUAAGGGCCAACCAGCUGUCUUCACCCGCGCAAAAGCGGGUCAUAAGGCUUGUUAAGGCUGCCAUUGUCCUCGGCUUUUCUUGGCCGAGGUGUCUGGCGAGCCACUCAUCCCGGAUACUGUGCUUGAAGGUCGCUAGGGCUUCGGCAUCCGGAGAAUCGACAAUUUGAUUCUUCUUAGUGAGGAAUCGGUUCCAAAGCUUGUGGGUGAUCUCUCCGGGCUAUUGAAUUAUGUGACUUAAAUCGUCCGCGUCCGGAGGUCAGACAUAGGUCCCUUGAAAAUUGGCCCUGAAAGCAUCCUCGAGUUCCUCCCAACUUCCGAUUGAAUUUUUGGGGAGGCUUUUCAACCAGUGCCGAGCCGGUCCCUUCAACUUGAGGGAAGGUAUUUGAUGGCGUGGAGGUCGUCCCGACGAGCCAUAUGGAUAUGUAGGAUAAAAUCCUCAAUCCAGACCCCGGGGUCUGUCAUUCCGUCAUAUGCCUCUAUGUUCACAGGUUUAAAACCCUGUGGGAAUUCGUGGUCCAGUACCUCUUCGGUGAAGCAUAGAGGGUGAGCAUCCCCUCUGUAUCUGGACGAGUUGUGGCAUGCUGACGGCUGUUGUUGUGUCCGGUGCUGAUUCCGAACUAGUACUCGAUCAGUCUGAUCGUUUUGGUGAUCAUAAUCCUGCACCGGAGCGUGUCCUCUAGAUCCAUAGAUGGACCUGGUCGCGCCGGCCCUUUUAUCCAGGAGCUCAUGUAAAUCGUGUGCAGCGUCAGUAGCUGCUCUAUUGCGGUUAUGGAGUGGUUUGUCCAGCCUACUGGCCGUAUUGUUCUCCGGUGGAACGGCCUCAUCGUCGAAUUAUGGCAGCAGCUUGUGCUUUGGAUAGCUCUUUGUGUGGCGAUCGUCGCCGUAUUUUUCUUUAGUGUCUAGCACUUUAUUCCAUCUGCGAUUGAGCAUUUCCUGUGCGGCCUUAGGCCUUUGCUACUGCUUCUUUAGACUUCUCGCAGUGGCCAUAAGCCUUCUGUGGAGGUUAUCUCAUUCCAAACGUGUUUCCGAGAUGAUGAAUGCAUCGUCGUCCGGACUAUGCUCCUGUCCUGGGGCAGUUUGAUGAGUUCGGCCCUCGGGAUCACUGUGAUCGGGGGUCUGCUCCGGGCUGUGUUUGGCGUGACCUGGCUCAUCCUGCUCCAUCACUGGGUCCAUAUGGUCAUUGUUGCCUUCAGAGUUGACUAGGGUGUCAAUCUUUCUAGUGCUGUUAUCGCUAUUUUUACUGUGGCUGGACUUAGAGCGGCAUCUGCGCCGUUGUUUUGGCUAUUGUCCAGGGGUUUUAUCCUCCAUUUUGUCGCCAUCAUCCUCCUUAGGCGUGUCCACCAUGUAUAUAUCAUAUGAUGAGGUGGCAGUCCAGCGCCCUGUGGGUGGUGGUUCCGAAUCGUCUCCUGCGCCGACGUCCAUGCCGUCGGUGUCAUCGGAGUCGAAGUCAAGCAUGUCUGUUACGUCGUCGACAGUGGCUAUGAAGUGGGUGGUGGGUAGGCAACAAAUUUAUUUGUUGCCUUCUUCCCCCUUGAGUUAGACAUAGUUCAGCCAAGAGUCUCCUGGCAAAGAGAGAGACUUUAAUGAGUUCAGCAUGUCGACCAAGGGCGAGUGCUGGAAGAUAUCUGCACCGGCGAAUUCCAUUACCGGAGCCCAACCAGAAUCGGCGGGCUCGGCGGUGCGUGGUCUGGGACCUACAACCGGACACAAGUCCAGGGGUCCGGAGACACAGGCUUCCUUGGGGGUGAAGUCUGUGUUCGGCUCUACCGCCGAUGAGUGUGCGGCCUCCAGGGCGGGGUCCAUCCACCCGUCCUCGGACGAGGCCAUCUGCCCCGGAUUUAGGUCCGGAGCUCCUGCAGGUGCGAUAUCCCGAGUAUUGUCCGACAGCAGGUCGAAGCCGUGCUCAUCGUGACUGUUCGGCACUGCUGGCGUAGGCCCGAAUCCGUCGAAGAUCAAGUCUCUCCGGAUAUCGGUCGUGUAGUUCAAGUUUCCAAACCUGCCCUGUCGGCCAGGGGCGUAGCUGUCGAUCUGCUCCAGAUGGCCAAGCGAAUUGGCUCGUAGUGCGAAGCCGCCGAACACGAAGAUCUGUCCGGGGAGAAAAGUCUCACCCUAGACCGCGUUGUUGUUGAUGAUUGAAGGAGCCAUCGAGCCUUGAAGCAACGACAUAGAGGAACUCUCAAUGAAAGCACCAAUGUCAGUGUCAAAACCGGCGGAUCUCGGGUAGGGGGUCCCGAUCUGUGCGUCUAAGGCUAAUGGUAACAGGAGGCAAGGGACACGAUGUUUUACCCAGGUUCGGGCCCUCUCGAUGGAGGUAAAACCCUACUUCCUGUUUGAUUGAUCUUGAUGAUAUGAGUAUUACAAGAGUUGAUCUACCACGAGAUCGUAGAGACUAAACCAUAGGAGCUAGCCUAUGAUGAUUAUGAUUGUCCUUUCAUGGACUGAACCCUCCGGUUUAUAUAGACACCGGAGGGGGCUAGGGUUUACACAAGGUCGGUUACAAAGAAGGAGAUCUAAUAUCCGGAUCGCCAUGCUUGUCUUCCACGCAAAGGAGAGUCCCAUCCGGACACGGGACGAAGUCUUGAGUCUUGUAUCUUCAUGGUCCAACAGUCCGGCCAAAGUAUAUAGUCCGGCUGUCCGCAUACCCCCUAAUUCAGGACUCCCUCAACCGGAUUUACACUACUGUCGAUAGGGGUAGACUAGUAACUUCAAUCAGACGUGACACUACGGCCUCUGAGCCCAGUUAGACACGGUGGGCGCCAAACGUGGGCGGCAAAACACAUUUGAUUCAAGCUUGUCCGAAAGACAUGUGUCUCUCCCUUCAUUUCCCCAUUCAUACACGGUGGGCGGCAAAACAAACUCUCCUCAUCCGAAAUCGAUGUAGGCUAAUAUUUUAAAUAGGGGCAGAUGUGUAACUUCCCUCAGACGUGACACAACCACCCUACCUGUCAGCCCCAUUCAUACAGCGUGGGCGCCAACUAUGGGCGGCAAAACACCCUCUCCUCGCCCGAAAUAGUUACCGACAAAUAUUUGGGAGAUGCGAGAUUACCCUCCUAUCCCCAACCGACGUGAUGUCCAAAAUUUUAAACGGGGGAUAAGUUCGUAACUUUCCCACAUUUCAGAGAAGCGCGUCCCAAAGUUUGAGAUCCUCCCUCCCCUCCAUUUCGCCAUUCAUACACCAUCGGCACAACGACAACCUCCCCACUGCGGCCAGCCUCCUCCGUUCGCCACACCAUCCUCCACCUUGCCGGAGCCGCUACCCCUACCCCGUCGUCCACUUCAAGAGAUGGACGUCUCUCAUCCACGGCGAUGGACCAAGAUCCUUUCAUCGCAUCCUCUGACUUCAUAGGCGCCGUCGUCCACCUUGCCAUUGCCGCUCCUACGACCGCCUCCUCCACGAAAACAGGAUUUAUCCCCUGACCUGGCCAUCGGCCGUCUAAAGUCUUCUUCCCUGCCGCCGACAGUCAUCACACCCACAACACCCUCAACGUAUCAGCAGAGGCCUACAUGGCGUCGCAAGAGAGGUGGCACUCUUCCAUAUGUGCUUAAGUUAUUGAUCUCACCCGAAAAAUAGAUCAUAAUUUGUUUACUGUACUUUUCUUAUCCGUACCAAAUCGUAGUGGCUAGUUGAAAGCAAACAUUGGUUGCGAAGUAGCUUUGUCCGGUUUGCACCUUCAGAUCCGCCAUGGCACUGACACUAUACUCGUAAAGCUUAUGGUUUCCCCCCUUUAUAUUCACUACCAUCAUCUUUGGUGCUUCAUGUCGUGCUAGCACUACUCCUUAAGACCUCAACCAAAGCUUAUGUGUUGAAAUACGAAUAUGAUAUGAUGCUCAUAUCACUAAAACAGAGAAUGUUUAAUUGGUCACCUAAUGUUCCUAUAUUCGUUUUGAAAAGCAUGUGCGCCACCCACUGGUCUAGGUAGUUCCACUUUCCUCAUUUUAAUCUUGAUGCUUAGGGUUUCCCCCUUUUAUUUACUCUACUAUUAUCUGCGUAGGUGCUUUCUGUCGUACUAGCAUUACUCCACCCUUAAAGCCAAACAUCACAACACUCAAAAUUCCGAAGCUUAGUUGUUCAAUUAUGAUUGUGAUAUGAUACUGAUAUUAGUUAACAGACACAUUUAAUUGUUUAGCUAAAGGUCCCACUUGAGUUUCCAAAUGCAUGUCGCAACAUAUAGAGAGGCAACAGAAUUGCAUUUCUUUGUCACUUGUUGACUGUACUUUCUUGUCCAUACAAAUCUUAGUUGUUAUUUCAAACCAAACAUCGGUUGCUAACUACCCUUUGCAUGGUUUGUAACUUCAUAUCUGCCAUCCCACUGCCACGGUCAACACUAUUCUCAUCAUGCUUACAGUUUCCCCAUUUUAUGAUGACCACGAUCAACCUACGUGGUUCGUGUCGUAAUAGCACUGCUCCACCCAUCGAGCUAACAAGCUUAGUUGUACAAAUUCAAAUAUGAUAUUAUGCUGAUAUUAGUAAAACUGAGAGAUGUUUAAUUGGUUAGCUAAAUGUUCCUACUUUAGUUUCAAAAUGCAUGUGAGCCACAUAUGGAGAGACCGGAAGAAAUAGUAUUUCUCGAUGCGCUCUGGUUCAUCAUGGGUGGCCAACUGACAUUGUAUUGAAAGACUUGUAAUAUCUUCAGUCCGCUUCCUCUUCUUCUCUUCUUUAAGAUGAUCCUCUUCUCUUGCGGUCGAUUGGUCAGGUAGAGUUGUUUUCCCUUAGUAUAUUUUGAAUCUGUCAGGUCAGGUCGACUUGUUCUUCUUUACUAUAUGUUGAAGCUGUCAUCUGCGAAGUGUCAUCACUUCUGGAGCUCUCAUAUUUUGAGUAGUAGGCCACAUUAUAUUAACGCACACACCAAAUUACGGCAUGCACGGCAUCUCUUAAAAGAAUUGCAGAGAUAGCCCAAAGGGGUUUACAGGGAGGUAGUAUUGGAUUAGAUCUCACUUGUUUUUAUGUUUUCAUGCAUGUCAGAUAUUGAACAUUAUCGAAAUGAAUAUGAGAAUGGGCGCACGAGAGGAAUAUUGCGGAAAUAUCCACUGGCUAACAAACUUGGCAUGGUGGAGGAUGGCCUAUCUUAUUCACCCAUCAAGGUGCUUGCUCUAACUUGGCAAGGUUGUAUUGGUCGCACAUAUUUGCAUCUGACCUCUUGCAUUACUUCUACUUUGUUACACCAUCUACUUAGUUUAAGCAUCAUAUAUGAGUAUAUGCCAUACCUAUCCAUUUUCUGUACCUAUUCCAUGUGUCGUCAUACUAUGUUUUUCCAGUCAAAUGUUGUUCUUUCGUAAUAGAUGUCCAAAAGGAAGAGGGUGAGUGCAGAUCCUCAAGGAGUACAAACUAGGUAUUUGGAAAAGGUAGUAAUACCUGUUAAAUCAGAUAGACCAGCAGCCACAGAAAACACAGACCCAACUGUACCACACUUUACCCCUACCCCAGUGGCCAAACCCCUAUUAGAACUGCUGAGAGACCAGCGCCAGGUACUAUCUAUGAUAUCAAUUCAAAAUUUGAACUCGUAAAUUUCUGCAUGUGCCUUACCUUCUCUCUUGUAUGAAAACUAAUUUCAGAUGAAUCUCCUUGCUCAAAGGAUCAUACGAUCUCACAACAAUACUGGGCUCUGCAUUGCUCUUGUCAGUACCUCUCGCCUUUUUGCCUUGUAACGCUGAUGUAUCAUCAGUCUGCACCUGAGCUUCAUUAUCCUCUAUUUCUUCUAAUAUUAUUUGAUCUAUAUUUACUCUUUGCAAAAUGUAGAAUAAUGGCAACGCUUAUAAAGAAUUUUCUUUCGGGAAUUUAUCGAAUUAUGCUUCCAUCAACAUGGAGAAGGGCUUUGUUCAGCCCGUGUUAACAUGUAAUGUAAGUUCAUCCUUCUCAAGCCUUCAAACUUUGUUCUAGUAUAGAUUUGGAUAGGCAUCAUUUCCUCCACUGCUGUUUACUUUGCUAUUUACAUCUGAUUGGAUGUUUGCAACAACUACCAGUUUUAAAUUGUAGAUGUAAAAACAUGUUUCUUAUGUAGAACAGAUCCAUUUAUUUGCUUAUAUAAUUGUGAAACCUGUUACGUGUCUCCUUGUUUCUCUUUCAGAGUCGUAUCUUUUAUGCCAGGCAGAACUUUAGGGAAGAUAGUGAGCCAAACCAUCUUGAGGAUAGCGAGAUGACCCCAAGGUCCUGUCUUGAUGAAGACAGUGAGUUGAAGCUACUCACCAGCAGGUGUGAGACAACCUCUGUGCAGUCGCUGCCUCAAUCAGUUCGACUUCUUUAGUCUCAACUUAAAGCGGAAAGGCUUGCUUCAGCUCAGUUCCGACUUGAAGUCAAAGAUGUAAUGAAGAUGUCGGAGGACUACCUUGUGCACUAUCGUGCCAUAUAGCUAGGGAUGAAGCAUCUAUCGUUGACACAACUGAGGUCCAAUUAGCUUCUUCGGCUGUUUGUGGGGCUCAACCUAGCCAGGCCUAGUGCCUUCUGAAGUGCUCUCAGUUUUGUAUAUUCUUUUGUCGGCGCGUUUAUUUGCACUGGUGGCGAACUUGGACGCCCAGUGGAGGUAAUAGGUGUAAUAGCCGUGAUAGCCUAGCAUAAGUUGCUUGCUUAUUUAUUUCCUUGUUGUCUUUGCUUAUUUGUUUGCUUGUAGUCAGUGUAGUUCUUUUUCUGCGGUUUGCUAGUGGCCGCAAUAACCUAUUUUUUAAAUCUAGGCCACAAUAACCAUGGCUACAUAUUUACUGUAGUGAUGGUGGGCCUCCUACGGGCCGUAGAAACAAUGGGCCUUCUACGGGCCGUAGAAACAAUGGGCCUUCUACGGGCCGUAGAAACAAUGGGCCUUCUACGGGUCGUAUCAUCAAUGGGUCUUAUACGGGACGUAUGAUCGAUUGGCCAAACAUGGGCCAAUAACAAUCGGCAUUAUGGCCGUAAAUGGGCUAGAGUUGGAAUCGUCCGUUCAUGGGCCGACCAUAAUGGGCCGUCGUUAAUUGGCCAUAUUUGGUGACGCUAUGAAAACGACCCAACGUAUUAACAUGCCACAAAUGGGCCAACUGUAACCACGGGCUGAAUUUGGCCCACAAGCAGAAAAUGACAGUCAUGGGCCGUAAGUAACUGAAUGCUGGAAAUGAGCCCAAGAAAAUAUGGGACCUGAGAAGGCCGAAAGAUAACAUGGGGUGCAAAUGGCCCAAUGGAAUAAUGGGUCGUUAAUCGGCAUAAAGUGAUGCAUUGUUCAUUAUAGGCCAGUUUCACCACGGCAUGUUAAUGGGCCAAGAGUUACAAAGGGCCUCAUAUGGGCUGAAAGACGUCAUGGGCCAUACAUGGGCCGGAACUUAAAAUGGGCUUGAAUCAUAUUGGACGGCCCAUAUGAAGCUACCGGGCCUAAUUCGGAUAGGUCGUAACGGGUCCUGGGUUAGCGGGCUAUAAAGGGGCUAUAUGCGAACAAGCCGUUAACAGGCUUUCUGUGGGUCGGUCCGCCACCUUUUGACCAAGUCAAACAGGCCGGCCUUUUCACAGGAAUAGGCCUCUGUUGGACCGUGCCACAUGUGGACGUAUCAUAGGCGCCUUCGGUCCAAUGAGUGGAUGACAUCUGUCCCAACAGUGAGCUGACAUGUGUUUCCUCCAGCCAAUGAUGAUUUUACACGUGGAAAAUCCCCAUUGGCCUGGGCUAUUAACUGGUUAUCGGAUCCAAAACCGGACCUGAUAGCUUAAUGGCGUUCCGUUACGGUGGAUGCCACAUGUUGGUCACCCUUGACGAAAUCACUUCUAUGACGCGCGAUUGAUUGUCAUGGAAGUGGACACUUCCGUGAUGAUAAUUUUGGUAAUGCCAUGGAACACUUCUACGACAGCACAUGUAUGACUAUCUUGAUUCUGUCAUAAAAUCUUCAUGGAUGUACAUGCAUGACAGAAAACGUGACCUACUAUGACAAACACGUAUCAUCACUGAAGUGUAUUUUUUUUGUAGUGCUGGCCCCUACUGCUGGCACAAGCUAUUCAAACUCACUAUUUGAAUCAGUUUGUUUUUUGAGUCUCAACUACAAGCUGAAAGACAUCGAUCAGCUGUGCUGCGACAAGAAGCCGAAGGACUGCAGAAGUCCCUGGAGCAUUCAGAUGCAUACUUUCUGGUGCAACAGCAAGCAUUGGAGGAUUUUAGCGCCAAACAGGACAAAGCUAAUAAGCUUGCUAAGCUUAUUGCUAGCAUGGUGGAUACCGAGGAUAACGUUUCUUGAGCUCUACUGAAGUUGUUUCAGUUAUGGACUUGUUUUGCUGCCGUGUUUAUUUGCACUACUGGGAAAUUUAGACAUCCAAUGUAUGUAAUAUGCUGCUUAUUUGCACCGGUGGCGAACUUUGAUGCGCAUUGGAUGUAAUAUGUGUAAUAGCCAUAAUAGCCUAGCAUUAGUUGCUUGCUUAUUUAUUUCCUUAUUGUCUUGUUUAGUUGUUUUCUUG